CCUACGGGAGGCAGCAGUGAGGAAUAUUGGUCAAUGGACGAGAGUCUGAACCAGCCAAGUAGCGUGAAGGAUGACUGCCCUAUGGGUUGUAAACUUCUUUUAUAUGGGAAUAAAACGUUCCACGUGUGGGAUUUUGUAUGUACCAUAUGAAUAAGGAUCGGCUAACUCCGUGCCAGCAGCCGCGGUAAUACGGAGGAUCCGAGCGUUAUCCGGAUUUAUUGGGUUUAAAGGGAGCGUAGGUGGAUUGUUAAGUCAGUUGUGAAAGUUUGCGGCUCAACCGGAAAAUUGCAGUUGAAACGGGCAGUCUUGAGUACAGUAGAGGUGGGCGGAAUUCGUGGUGGAGCGGUGAAAUGCUGAGAUAUCACGAAGAACUCCGAUUGCGAAGGCAGUUCACUGGACUGCAACUGACACUGAGGCUCGAAAGUGUGGGUAUCAAACAGGAUUAGAUACCCCAGUAGUC
RNAcentral lists this ribosomal RNA (460 nucleotides) under uncultured bacterium. Its description in RNAcentral is "partial 16S ribosomal RNA". It matches the Rfam family "Bacterial small subunit ribosomal RNA", at positions 338 to 795 of the family's 1533-position model. The record is from RNAcentral.